CUCUCACUACAAGUUUCCUGGAAAAUUUUCUAAAAAGUUGGCUGUAGUUUAAUGCCAGAUGUUGAAAACAAUCCCUAAUCUUCGAGUGCCCUGUAUUUUUCUUAUCGACACAAUUAUUUAGUUAUUAUUAAUUCUGUACACUUCACUUAAAUUGUUUAUAUCAAUUUUCAGAUCUUUGGGCUCAAAUCUGCACUCUGUGAGCGAUAUAUGCUUUUCAUAUAUCAAUCAAAAAAAAUGCGGGGACUACAAACAUGGUGAAGUAUUUAAAUUAGAAGGUCAUCCUCUUGGAGGUAUAAACAUUCAUAUUUUGAAGAGAAAUCCCCACGAAAAAGUAUCAGAAGGCAAGUUGUUAGUCGUUUCCUAUGCUUGGGAUGGAAAUGCCUUACCUGGUAAUGAAUACUGGUGUGAAAAUUUAAGUGGUAGCAAUGAUCCAGCAACAGCUUCUUCAACACAAAUUGCCGAAAUUCAUAACCCUCAUAUCAAUCCUUUGGUGUGUGCUGAUAAAUUAAGAGUUGUUAAAGAUGGACAAAUAGUGACUUUUGAGGAAUAUCAAAAUCUUAUCAGAUGUAGCAAAGCUGACGGAAAAAUGUAAUGUAUUUGAAAAUAAUGAAAUAUAUGUUUUCGUUAUUUUGAUUAUUAA
This is a long non-coding RNA of Leptinotarsa decemlineata (Colorado potato beetle), 640 nucleotides long. The record is from RefSeq and is a predicted model, not a curated record. Lineage: Eukaryota; Metazoa; Arthropoda; Insecta; Coleoptera; Chrysomelidae.